RNAcentral lists this ribosomal RNA (338 nucleotides) under Scathophaga stercoraria (yellow dung fly). Its description in RNAcentral is "partial 12S ribosomal RNA". The record is from RNAcentral. Lineage: Eukaryota; Metazoa; Arthropoda; Insecta; Diptera; Scathophagidae.
UUAAAAUGUAAUUAAAAAAAUUAAGGUAGUAGUAGUUAUGUUCUUGAAACUUAAAAAAUUUGGCGGUAUUUUAGUCUAUUCAGAGGAACCUGUUCUAUAAUCGAUAAUCCACGAUGGACCUUACUUAAGUUUGUAAUCAGUUUAUAUACCGUCGUUAUUAGAAUAUUUUAUAAGAAUGUUAAUUUUCAUAAUUUUUAAAAAGAAAAUAUAUCAGAUCAAGGUGUAGCUUAUAUUUAAGUAGAAAUGGGUUACAAUAAAUUUAUUUAUACGAAUAUAAAUUUGAAAUAUUUAUUGAAGGUGGAUUUGAUAGUAAAAUUAUAAAGAUUAAUAAUUUGAUU